This 497-nucleotide ribosomal RNA is filed under the name uncultured bacterium. RNAcentral's name for it is "partial 16S ribosomal RNA". It matches the Rfam family "Bacterial small subunit ribosomal RNA", at positions 38 to 507 of the family's 1533-position model. The record is from RNAcentral.
GGGGGGGGGGGGGGGCGGGCCGGGGGGGGGGGGGGCGGGGGGGCGGGCGAGGAGGGUGCGUCUCUGGUGUUGGCGGCGGACGGGUGAGUGACACGGGGAUAACCUACCUAUCAGACUGGGAUGACUUCGGGACACCGGAGCUAAUACCGGCUACUAUUUUGAACCGCAUGUUUCCAACAUGCACGACGGUCUUGCUUUCACUUCUAGGUAGAGCCGCGCUUCAUUCUCUACGUGGUAAGGUCCCGACUUACCAAGGCAACGAUGCCUCGCCGACCUGAGAGGGUGAUCGGCCACACUGGAACUUAGACACGGUCCAGACUCCUACGGGAGGCAGCAGUAGGGAAUCUUCCGCAAUGGGCGAAAGCCUGACGGAGCAACGCCGCGUGAGUGAUGAAGGUCUUCGGAUCGUAAAACUCUGUUAUUAGGGAAGAACAUAUGUGUAAGUAACUGUGCACAUCUUGACGGUACCUAAUCAGAAAGCCACGGCUAACUACGUG